UGGGCCCUGCCUACCUAGCAUCGCUUCUGUCAUAUUCUGUUAGCAACACUCUCCAAAGCCCAACCAGUUUCAAGGGGAGGGGAUGUAGACCUCACCUUUCAAUGAGAAGAGUGUCAACGAAUUUGUGGACUUUAUUUCAAAACAGCCACAACAACUAAUUCCUGAUAAAAACUGAAAAUAUGACAUAAUAAGGCUUUAACCACCCCCACGUUUGUUUAUGUGUUUAUGAUCUGUUUCCCACGCUACAAAUUAAGCUUGAUGAGGGUAAAGACUUGGGCAUUUUGCCCACUGCAGUGUCCCUGAGGCCAAGGACAGGGCUGAAGAAUUACACGGUGAUUAGAUCAGAGGAAAUAUCACCGUCUCCCCUCCUCCUGUCUAUUUUAGGCCAAAGCAUCCUUCAACAUCCAGCUCACAGCUCUUCUCCGUGGUCUUCUAAACUCCAGUUUUUCUUUGCCUAUUCACCUGAGGGUCACUUUGUGCUAUACUAAGUUGUCACGUCUUAAAUUACAGCAUCCAGUAUUACCAGUUCAGCUGCUG
Molecule: long non-coding RNA, 537 nt
Filed under: Homo sapiens (human)
Lineage: Eukaryota; Metazoa; Chordata; Mammalia; Primates; Hominidae
Description: non-protein coding lnc-ARFGEF2-5:1
Source: RNAcentral